GGGCCCGUAGCUCAGCUGGUUAGAGCAGUUGACUCAUAAUCAACGGGUCCCAGGUUCGAGUCCUGGCGGGCCCA
RNAcentral lists this transfer RNA (74 nucleotides) under Spirochaetota bacterium. RNAcentral's name for it is "Spirochaetes bacterium (freshwater sediment metagenome) tRNA-Ile". It matches the Rfam family "tRNA". Rfam says of the family: Transfer RNA (tRNA) molecules are approximately 80 nucleotides in length. Their secondary structure includes four short double-helical elements and three loops (D, anti-codon, and T loops). The record is from RNAcentral. Lineage: Bacteria; Pseudomonadati; Spirochaetota.